GACGAACGCUGGCGGCGUGCCUAAUACAUGCAAGUCGAACGCACUCUCGUUUAGAUUGCAGGAGUUUGCUCCUGAUUGAUAAACAUUUGAGUGAGUGGCGGACGGGUGAGUAACACGUGGGUAACCUGCCCUAAAGUGGGGGAUAACAUUUGGAAACAGAUGCUAAUACCGCAUAAAACCUAACACCGCAUGGUGUAGGGUUGAAAGAUGGUUUCGGCUAUCACUUUAGGAUGGACCCGCGGUGCAUUAGUUAGUUGGUGAGGUAAAGGCUCACCAAGACCGUGAUGCAUAGCCGACCUGAGAGGGUAAUCGGCCACACUGGGACUGAGACACGGCCCAGACUCCUACGGGAGGCAGCAGUAGGGAAUCUUCCACAAUGGACGAAAGUCUGAUGGAGCAACGCCGUGUGAGUGAAGAAGGUUUUCGGAUCGUAAAACUCUGUUGUUGGAGAAGAAUGUAUCUGAUAGUAACUGAUCAGGUAGUGACGGUAUCCAACCAGAAAGCCACGGCUAACUACGUG
Molecule: ribosomal RNA, 520 nt
Filed under: uncultured bacterium
Lineage: Bacteria
Description: partial 16S ribosomal RNA
Rfam family: Bacterial small subunit ribosomal RNA
Source: RNAcentral